RNAcentral lists this RNase P RNA (371 nucleotides) under uncultured Atopostipes sp. Its description in RNAcentral is "Bacterial RNase P class B". It matches the Rfam family "Bacterial RNase P class B". From Rfam's summary of the family: Ribonuclease P (RNase P) is a ubiquitous endoribonuclease, found in archaea, bacteria and eukarya as well as chloroplasts and mitochondria. Lineage: Bacteria; Bacillati; Bacillota; Bacilli; Lactobacillales; Carnobacteriaceae. The record is from RNAcentral.
UAUGGAUAAUUGCGCAUUCUAUUUGAAUGUGAGUAAAGUCCAUGCUCACACAAGCUGAGAAGCUUGUAGUGUUCAUGCGUGUCCAAACAAUAAGACACGGACUUUUAUGAAAAUAAAAGAAACGGCAGUUAAACGAGCUAAGGUAUUGCUAUGCUCAAGUAGACUUGAAAGUGCCACAGUGACGAAGCAACAAUGGAAACGUUGUUGGUGGAACGGGUAAACCCCAUGAGUGAGCAACCCAAACUACGGUAGGGGCACUCUUUUCACAGAAAUGAAUGUAGAAAAGAGGCAGCUAUUAUGAAUAGUUGCAGACAGAUAAUUAUCUCUGGAAAGAUUGCCUAAGAUCUUUCCUAGACAGAACAUGGCUUACA